CUGGGCUUGACAUCCCCACGGAGAGGGGGUAAUGCCCCUGGCCCUUCGGGGCGUGGGAGACAGGUGGUGCAUGGUUGUCGUCAGCUCGUGUCGUGAGAUGUUGGGUUAAGUCCCGCAACGAGCGCAACCCUUACCCUUAGUAGCCAGCGGAAGAGCCGGGCACUCUAGGGGGACAGCCUGGGAUAACCAGGAGGAAGGCGGGGAUGACGUCAAAUCAUCAUGCCCCUUAUGUUCAGGGCUACACACGUGCUACAAUGGCGGCGACAGAGGGAAGCGAGACAGUGAUGUUGAGCGAAGCCCAAAAAGCCGUCCCAGUUCGGAUUGCAGCCUGCAACUCGGCUGCAUGAAGCCGGAAUCGCUAGUAAUCGCGGAUCAGAAUGCCGCGGUGAAUACGUUNCCC
RNAcentral lists this ribosomal RNA (400 nucleotides) under uncultured bacterium. RNAcentral's name for it is "bacterial SSU rRNA". It matches the Rfam family "Bacterial small subunit ribosomal RNA", at positions 975 to 1375 of the family's 1533-position model. The record is from RNAcentral.